Molecule: ribosomal RNA, 253 nt
Filed under: uncultured prokaryote
Description: partial 16S ribosomal RNA
Rfam family: Bacterial small subunit ribosomal RNA
Source: RNAcentral
ACGAACCUUGCUAACGUUAUUCGGAAUUACUGGGCGUAAAGCGUGCGUAGACGGUUAUUUAAGUCGGAUGUGAAAGCCCCGGGCUCAACCUGGGAAUUGCAUUCGAGACUGAAUAGCUAGGGUACGGUAGAGGGAAGUGGAAUUUCCGGUGUAGCGGUGAAAUGCGUAGAUAUCGGAAGGAACAUCAGUGGCGAAAGCGACUUCCUGGACCAGUACCGACGUUCAGGCACGAAAGCGUGGGGAGCAAGCAGGA